GUAGGUGGCAAGCGUUGUCCGGAAUUAUUGGGCGUAAAGCGCGCGCAGGCGGUCCUUUAAGUCUGAUGUGAAAGCCCACGGGCUCAACCGUGGAGGGUCAUUGGAAACUGGGGGACUUGAGUACAGAAGAGGAAAGCGGAAUUCCACGUGUAGCGGUGAAAUGCGUAGAGAUGUGGAGGAACACCAGUGGCGAAGGCGGCUUUCUGGUCUGUAACUGACGCUGAGGCGCGAAAGCGUGGGGAGCAAACAGGAUUAGAUACCCUGGUAGUCCACGCCGUAAACGAUGAGUGCUAAGUGUUAGGGGGUUUCCGCCCCUUAGUGCUGCAGCUAACGCAUUAAGCACUCCGCCUGGGGAGUACGGCCGCAAAGGCUGA
Molecule: ribosomal RNA, 374 nt
Filed under: uncultured organism
Description: partial 16S ribosomal RNA
Rfam family: Bacterial small subunit ribosomal RNA
Source: RNAcentral